UAAGCGGAGGAAAAGAAACUAACAAGGAUUCCCCUAGUAACGGCGAGUGAAGCGGGAAGAGCUCAAAUUUGAAAUCUGGUGGCCUCAGGCUAUCCGAGUUGUAAUCUAUAGAAACAUUUUCCGCGUUGGCCCAUGUACAAGUCUCUUGGAAUAGAGCGUCAUAGAGGGUGAGAAUCCCGUCCUUGACAUGGACUACCAGUGCUUUGUGAUAUGUUUUCAACGAGUCGAGUUGUUUGGGAAUGCAGCUCAAAAUGGGUGGUAAAUUCCAUCUAAAGCUAAAUAUUGGCGAGAGACCGAUAGCGAACAAGUACCGUGAGGGAAAGAUGAAAAGCACUUUGGAAAGAGAGUUAAACAGUAUGUGAAAUUGUUGAAAGGGAAACGAUUGAAGUCAGUCGUGUCUAUUGGACUCAGCCGGUUCUGCCGGUGUACUUCCUUUAGAUGGGGUCAACAUCAGUUUUGAUCGCUGGAAAAGGGCAGGAGGAAUGUAGCACUCUCGGGUGAACUUAUAGCCUUCUGUCGCAUACAGUGGUUGGGACUGAGGAACGCAGCUUGCCUUUAUGGCCGGGAUUUAUCCACGUACAAGCUUAGGAUGUUGACAUAAUGGCUUUAAACGACCCGUCUUGAAACACG
This 630-nucleotide ribosomal RNA is filed under the name Solicoccozyma terricola. RNAcentral's name for it is "eukaryotic LSU rRNA". It matches the Rfam family "Eukaryotic large subunit ribosomal RNA", at positions 47 to 663 of the family's 3401-position model. Lineage: Eukaryota; Fungi; Basidiomycota; Tremellomycetes; Filobasidiales; Piskurozymaceae. The record is from RNAcentral.